AGGGAUAUAGCUCAGUGGGACAGCACCUGCCUGCUAAGCGCAAGAUUCUGAGUUCGAUCCUCUGUACCACCA
RNAcentral lists this transfer RNA (72 nucleotides) under Heterocephalus glaber (naked mole-rat). It matches the Rfam family "tRNA". Rfam says of the family: Transfer RNA (tRNA) molecules are approximately 80 nucleotides in length. Their secondary structure includes four short double-helical elements and three loops (D, anti-codon, and T loops). The record is from Rfam by way of RNAcentral. Lineage: Eukaryota; Metazoa; Chordata; Mammalia; Rodentia; Bathyergidae.